This 442-nucleotide ribosomal RNA is filed under the name uncultured bacterium. RNAcentral describes it as "partial 16S ribosomal RNA". It matches the Rfam family "Bacterial small subunit ribosomal RNA", at positions 338 to 795 of the family's 1533-position model. The record is from RNAcentral.
CCUACGGGAGGCUGCAGUGGGGAAUAUUGGGCAAUGGGCGCAAGCCUGACCCAGUAACGCCGCGUGAAUGAAGAAGGCUUUCGGGUUGUAAACUUCUUUUAAUAGGGAAGAGCAGAAGACGGUACCUCUUUAAUAAGCCACAGCUAACUACGUGCAAGCAGCCGCGGUAAUACGUAGGUGGCAAGCGUUGUACUGCUUCACUGGGAGUAAAGGGCCUGAAUUCGGGAAGACAAGUCUGAUGUGAAAUCCCGCGGCUCAACCGUGGAACGGCAUUUGAAACUGUUUUUCUUGAGUACAGGAGAGGACAUCGGAAUUCCUUGUGUAGCGGUGAAAUGCGUAGAUAUAAGGAAGAACACCAGUGGCGAAGGCGGAUGACUGGACGGCAACUGACGGUGAGGCGCGAAAGCGUGGGGAGCAAACAGGAUUAGAUACCCGAGUAGUC